RNAcentral lists this long non-coding RNA (308 nucleotides) under Elaeis guineensis (African oil palm). Its description in RNAcentral is "long non-coding RNA (EGUI_LNC079731)". The record is from RNAcentral. Lineage: Eukaryota; Viridiplantae; Streptophyta; Magnoliopsida; Arecales; Arecaceae.
AUACAAUACUCUAUUGGAUCUCCUUAAUGGUGCCUAUACAAUGGAUUCUAGAUUUGAUCUAAUCAAAUCUAAUUCUAUGGAUUCACCAAAUUAUGUCGGUUCUUCUAUCUGUCGAACUUCAUAAGUUCUACAUUAAAGGCAUCAGUACCUUCAUCAAGAUACUCCUUUUCUAAAAGGAAUACCGAACAACUCUUAUUCUUUAGCAUGGUAGAAGUUAUGUCUCCUAAAUUCUUUGAGAUUAUCCUAUAGAAUUAUAUAUAUAGGACUAGAAUCCAAGCUAAUUAGUCUGCAAAUGCUUGGCAUAAAAC